GAUGAACGCUGGCGGCGUGCCUAAUACAUGCAAGUCGAGCGAACAGAUAAGGAGCUUGCUCCUUUGACGUUAGCGGCGGACGGGUGAGUAACACGUGGAUAACCUACCUAUAAGACUGGGAUAACUUCGGGAAACCGGAGCUAAUACCGGAUAACAUAUUGAACCGCAUGGUUCAAUAGUGAAAGGCGGCUUUGCUGUCACUUAUAGAUGGAUCCGCGCCGUAUUAGCUAGUUGGUAAGGUAACGGCUUACCAAGGCAACGAUACGUAGCCGACCUGGGAGGGUGAUCGGCCACACUGGAACUGAGACACGGUCCAGACUCCUACGGGAGGCAGCAGUAGGGAAUCUUCCGCAAUGGGCGAAAGCCUGACGGAGCAACGCCGCGUGAGUGAUGAAGGUCUUCGGAUCGUAAAACUCUGUUAUCAGGGAAGAACAAAUGUGUAAGUAACUGUGCACAUCUUGACGGUACCUGAUCAGAAAGCCACGGCUAACUACGUGCCAGCAGCCGCGGUAA
RNAcentral lists this ribosomal RNA (513 nucleotides) under uncultured bacterium. RNAcentral's name for it is "partial 16S ribosomal RNA". It matches the Rfam family "Bacterial small subunit ribosomal RNA", at positions 28 to 523 of the family's 1533-position model. The record is from RNAcentral.